GUAGGUGAACCUGCGGAGGGAUCAUUAACGAGAUAGGGUGCGAAAGCGCCCGACCUCCCAACCCAUUGUAUGCGAAACCACGUUGCCUCGGGGGCUUGUCCCCCGACCGGCCACUCAAACACUGCUUCUAUGCGUCAGAGUAUAUUCUUUAAAUGAAUUAAAACUUUCAACAACGGAUCUCUUGGUUCUG
Molecule: unclassified non-coding RNA, 190 nt
Filed under: rhizosphere metagenome
Description: partial ribosomal RNA internal transcribed spacer region
Source: RNAcentral